AGUAGCGAACGGGUGAGUAACGCGUAGGAAUAUGCCCUAAAGCCUGGGAUAACUUGGGGAAACUCAAGCUAAUACCGGAUAAUAACUAAGGUUUAAAGCUGGGGACCAUUUAUGGCCUGGCACUUUAGGAUUAGCCUGCGUCCGAUUAGCUAGUUGGUGGGGUAAUGGCCUACCAAGGCGACGAUCGGUAGCUGUUCUGAGAGGAAGAUCAGCCACACUGGGACUGAGACACGGCCCAGACUCCUACGGGAGGCAGCAGUGGGGAAUAUUGGACAAUGGGGGCAACCCUGAUCCAGCAAUGCCGCGUGUGUGAAGAAGGCCUGAGGGUUGUAAAGCACUUUAGUUGGGGAGGAGGACUGCAAGGUUAAGAGCUGUGCAGUUGGACGUUACCCAAAGAAUAAGCACCGGCUAACUCCGUGCCAGCAGCCGCGGUAAUACGGAGGGUGCGAGCGUUAAUCGGAAUUACUGGGCGUAAAGGGUGCGUAGGUGGUUGAUUAAGUUAUCUGUGAAAUACCCGGGCUUAACCUGGGGGGGUCAGAUAAAACUGAUUAACUUGAGUAUGGUAGAGGGUAGUGGAAUUUCCGGUGUAGCGGUGAAAUGCGUA
RNAcentral lists this ribosomal RNA (604 nucleotides) under uncultured bacterium. Its description in RNAcentral is "bacterial SSU rRNA". It matches the Rfam family "Bacterial small subunit ribosomal RNA", at positions 94 to 692 of the family's 1533-position model. The record is from RNAcentral.